GAUGAACGCUGGCGGCGUGCCUAAUACAUGCAAGUCGAGCGAACAGACGAGGAGCUUGCUCCUCUGACGUUAGCGGCGGACGGGUGAGUAACACGUGGAUAACCUACCUAUAAGACUGGGAUAACUUCGGGAAACCGGAGCUAAUACCGGAUAAUAUAUUGAACCGCAUGGUUCAAUAGUGAAAGACGGUUUUGCUGUCACUUCUCGAUGGAUCCGCGCCGCAUUAGCUAGUUGGUAAGGUAACGGCUUACCAAGGCAACGAUGCAUAGCCGACCUGAGAGGGGGAUCGGCCACACUGGAACUGAGACACGGUCCAGACUCCUACGGGAGGCAGCAGUAGGGAAGGUAUCGCAAUGGGCGAAAGCCUGACGGAGCAACGGCGCGUGAGUGAUGAAGGUCUUCGGAUCGUAAAACGCUGUUAUGAGGGAAGAACAAAUGUGUAAGUAACUAUGCACGUCUUGACGGUACCUAAUCAGAAAGCCACGGCAAACUACGU
RNAcentral lists this ribosomal RNA (496 nucleotides) under uncultured bacterium. Its description in RNAcentral is "partial 16S ribosomal RNA". It matches the Rfam family "Bacterial small subunit ribosomal RNA", at positions 28 to 506 of the family's 1533-position model. The record is from RNAcentral.